Molecule: unclassified non-coding RNA, 336 nt
Filed under: soil metagenome
Description: partial contains 5.8S ribosomal RNA, internal transcribed spacer 2, and large subunit ribosomal RNA
Rfam family: 5.8S ribosomal RNA (bases 1-120)
Source: RNAcentral
GAUGAAGAACUCAGCGAAAUGCGAUAAGUAGUGUGAAUUGCAGAAUUCAGUGAAUCAUCGAAUCUUUGAACGCACAUUGCGCCCCUUGGUAUUCCAUGGGGCAUGCCUGUUCGAGCGUCAUUUGUACCUUCAAGCUUUGCUUGGUGUUGGGUGUUUGUCUCGCCUUUGCGUGUAGACUCGCCUUAAAAUAAUUGGCAGCCGGCGUAUUGAUUUCGGAGCGCAGUACAUCUCGCGCUUUGCACUCAUAACGACAGCGUCCAAAAGUACAUUUUACACUCUUGACCUCGGAUCAGGUAGGGAUACCCGCUGAACUUAAGCAUAUCAAUAAGCGGAGGA